GCCUGGGUGGCUCAGUCGGUGAAGCGUCCGACUUCAGCUCAGGUCAUGAUCUCGCAGUUUGUGGGUUCGAGCCCCACGUCGGGCU
This 85-nucleotide transfer RNA is filed under the name Felis catus (domestic cat). It matches the Rfam family "tRNA". Rfam says of the family: Transfer RNA (tRNA) molecules are approximately 80 nucleotides in length. Their secondary structure includes four short double-helical elements and three loops (D, anti-codon, and T loops). The record is from Rfam by way of RNAcentral. Lineage: Eukaryota; Metazoa; Chordata; Mammalia; Carnivora; Felidae.